GAUGAACGCUGACAGAAUGCUUAACACAUGCAAGUCCACUUGAACUUCGGUUUGGGUGGCGGACGGGUGAGUAACGCGUAAAGAACUUGCCUCACAGAUAGGGACAACAUUUGGAAACGAAUGCUAAUACCUGAUAUUAUGAUUAUAUGGCAUCGUAUAAUUAUGAAAGCUAUAUGCGCUGUGAGAGAGCUUUGCGUCCCAUUAGCUAGUUGGAGAGGUAACGGCUCACCAAGGCGAUGAUGGGUAGCCGGCCUGAGAGGGUGAUCGGCCACAAGGGGACUGAGACACGGCCCGUACUCCUACGGGAGGCAGCAGUGGGGAAUAUUGGACAAUGGACCAAGAGUCUGAUCCAGCAAUUCUGUGUGCACGAUGAAGUUUUUCGGAAUGUAAAGUGCUUUCAGUUGGGAAGAAAAAAAUGACGGUACCAACAGAAGAAGUGACGGCUAAAUACGUG
RNAcentral lists this ribosomal RNA (454 nucleotides) under uncultured bacterium. RNAcentral describes it as "partial 16S ribosomal RNA". It matches the Rfam family "Bacterial small subunit ribosomal RNA", at positions 28 to 507 of the family's 1533-position model. The record is from RNAcentral.